Small nuclear RNA from Xenopus tropicalis (tropical clawed frog), 164 nucleotides. Its record names the gene U1. It matches the Rfam family "U1 spliceosomal RNA". Rfam says of the family: U1 is a small nuclear RNA (snRNA) component of the spliceosome (involved in pre-mRNA splicing). Its 5' end forms complementary base pairs with the 5' splice junction, thus defining the 5' donor site of an intron. There are significant differences in sequence and secondary structure between metazoan and yeast U1 snRNAs, the latter being much longer (568 nucleotides as compared to 164 nucleotides in human). The record is from Ensembl. Lineage: Eukaryota; Metazoa; Chordata; Amphibia; Anura; Pipidae.
AUACUUACCUGGCAGGGGAGAUAACAUGAUCACGAAGGUGGUUCUCCCAGGGCGAGGCUCAUCCAUUGCACUCCGGCCGUGCUGACCCCUGCGAUUUCCCCAAAUGCGGGAAAGUCGACUGCAUAAUUUCUGGUAGUGGGGGACUGCGUUCGCGCUUUCCCCUG